This 484-nucleotide ribosomal RNA is filed under the name uncultured bacterium. RNAcentral describes it as "partial 16S ribosomal RNA". It matches the Rfam family "Bacterial small subunit ribosomal RNA", at positions 30 to 507 of the family's 1533-position model. The record is from RNAcentral.
AUUGAACGCUGGCGGCAGGCCUAACACAUGCAAGUCGAGCGGAUGAAGGGAGCUUGCUCCUGGAUUCAGCGGCGGACGGGUGAGUAAUGCCUAGGAAUCUGCCUGGUAGUGGGGGAUAACGUCCGGAAACGGGCGCUAUUACCCCUUCCGUCUUAGGGGGGAAGGGGGGGGUUCUUCGGACCUCCCCCUUUCAGUUGAGCCUAGGUCGGAUUAGCUAGUUGGUGGGGUAAAGGCCUACCAAGGCGACGAUCCGUAACUGGUCUGAGAGGAUGAUCAGUCACACUGGAACUGAGACACGGUCCAGACUCCUACGGGAGGCAGCAGUGGGGAAUAUUGGACAAUGGGCGAAAGCCUGAUCCAGCCAUGCCGCGUGUGUGAAGAAGGUCUUCGGAUUGUAAAGCACUUUAAGUUGGGAGGAAGGGCAGUAAGUUAAUACCUUGCUGUUUUGACGUUACCAACAGAAUAAGCACCGGCUAACUUCGUG